GGCGCCCUGCCGGUGCUGUGUGCGGCUGCCGCCAUUUCGCGAGAGCCGCCCCAUGCCUGCUUCGGGCAGCGCCGGCAGCCUGGGCGCACCGGGCGUAGCGUGUGGCUGCAGAGCGGCGCUGGGGAAAGGCCCUCGCUCCCACUCGAGUUCAGAAUUCACUCUCUGUGGUUUUGCGGUUCUUUACAAAGCCCUUUGGUAAAGCGGCAGGGAUCCCAAGGUGCAAGGCACAAAAUCGUUCUUCCACCGCCCUCAGCGGCUGCGGGAGAGAGCUGAGCACCAGUCACAGAAACGCGGAAUUGGGGAUGUUGGAAAGACCUCUAAGAUCACCAAGUCCAACCGCAGCCCAUCCCCACCGUGCCCACUGCCCCUCAGUGCCACAUCCCCACGGCUCUGGGACACCUCCAGGGGCGGUGACCCCACCACUCCCUGGGCAGCUGUGCCACUGCCUCACCGCUCCUUGGGAGAAGGAAUUGUUCCUAACAGCCAACCUGAACCUCCCCUGGCACAGCAUCAGGCCAUCCCCUCUUCUCCUUGCCCAAAGGAGCUGAUGUGAAAUGGGGAUGGAGUUUGUGAUGGAAAUAAUUAGUCACGGGGUCUGAUAGCAGAUUGUGUGGCUGCCUAAGAAGCUUAUUGAAAAUAAUAAUGCUUGUCAGUGAGACAGGGCUUGGCGGUGCCUGGUCCUGCCGUUGGCCUCUGUGGGUGCUGGAUAAAGCUGCGACGAAUGUGUGAUAACAAGCAGUGCUGAUAGCUGUUAUCUCCAGCUGUCUCCUAAAUAUAAUUGUUAAUUGAAUUUACCCUCAAGAAUUACAUCGUGACCAUUGAACAGCUGCAAGCUCAUUAGAUAUAAAGCAACUGACAAGGGCAAAUCCUAUUUUCUAGUCUUUACACUCAAACUAGCCCUGUAAAUACAAGAAAAAAAUGGUUAACUAAAUGCUGAAAAAUACCACGAGGAGAAGAAAUGCAACCAAAAAUCUGUGUGCAAUAAAGCCAGGAUGCUCAGGUAUCCUCCCCUCAUGGGGAGUGCAUUUAUACCAUACUGUCACUGUGUGGGCCAGGAGCUGGACUUGAUGAUCCUCAUGACUCCCUUCCUACUCAAGAUGUUCUCUGUUUCUCUGAUUCUGCACGCCUUUUCUACCACCCACUAGUUUUAUUUCCACCCCAGUGCAGCAGGAAAUGAUCCAGCGUGUGAUCCAUACAUCGGUUUGAACCUCCAUUUACAGCCAUCACAGAACAGUCAGCACAAGUGCUGUAACUUUCUUCUGCAGAGAAGUACCAGCAAAGCAGCAUUGUGUGAGUAAGUUUUACCCAGGCACAUAAAGGAGAGUCUAUGCUAUUUCGUACCUCUACCAUCAAGUAUAUUUCUUGUAACACCUUGGGAAAGUGGAAGUCUCUAAUCACUUGAGGUGAAUCGAAUAACAUUUUUUCAAAGCUUUGGUGAAAGCAAUUGUUCUGAGUUAUGGGAUGAGACCAGGAUGACAUACUUUGCUAUUUCCCCUACUACCAACAGCCAAACAUUUCAAACAGGUAUUGCCAAAAACAAGAGAAUUUUGCUUUUUCUCAUUUGCCCACACCUACGUUUUUAAUAGAAGAAAGGCGGUGAUUUUGCGUUGCACACUCAGUACUUUCCCAGUGCCUUUCCAUUCCUAGAAGAGUUUGUAUCACAUGUUCUUGUGGAUUAUUUCUGCCAGCUUUUACGUUACUACCAAGCAGUUUGGACUAUCAUUUUUACUUUUAUCUGGGUGUUAUUUCUUGCCAUCUUUUGCAGAAGCAUUAAAAUCACUUUCUGUUGCCUCCUAUCUACCAUUUGUAAAGAAUUUAUAUGUGAAUUUCUGCCCUUUCUGGCUCAAGAUACAAAUAAAUUUGACUUCUGUCAAAUUUGUGCGCACAGUCUGUCACAUUUCCUGUUUUGCUGGUUGUAUGGGAACUGUAGAAUCACGGCCUGAACCUCUGAUUGACCACCUGAGGCGAGUGCUGAGUCAGCUGCAGGGGCACAGAUGAACGCAAUUUCACCUGAGUGUCCGGAAGUGGUGGUCCGGCCUGGCUCCACCCCUCCCAGACCUCAUUUAAGGGCUGACUCCCAAGGAGGAAGGAUCUCUAUCUGGAGAUCACCCUUCUUGGAGCCCUUCUGCAAGCCCAGGAUAUGGUGUACUGGCAUUCUGCUGUUUAAAAGGAAAAAAAUGAGAUGUGUUGCCAAGUGAGUCUAUGCUGUUUGGAAAAGAAUUUGAAUAGAAAAGGGAAUUGAGUCAUAGAAUCACCAAGGCUGGAAAAAAACUCCAAGAUCAUCCAGUCCAACCCUCCACCUACCACCAACAUUUCCCCACUAAGUCACGUCCCUAUGUCCCUCAGUACAUCUACACAGCUCUGGAACAUCUCCAGGACUGUGACUCCAUCACCUCCCUGGGCAGCACUUUCCAGCAUCUGAACACUCUUUUGGAGAAGAAACUGUUCCUAAUCAACCUGAAUCUCCCUUGAGGCAACCUGAGGCUGUAACUGGAGGCCAACUGUGGAGUGUUUAAAGCGUUUAUGUGGGCACCUGUACAAUUUGUAAAAUUUUAUUACACAGUCAAGGCUGACUCAAUACAGGCAACAUUGCUAUCUUUCACCUUCUAUUCUUGGUGGUUCUGUUUAUGAGUCUUGGCAGUAAAAUUCAUCUUCAAUGGUAUUGAUUCAUAAGAUAUUAUUUGACCUCUCUUUAACAGCUAAAGUUAGUGGGUUACUGUUCUUACAAGGAGUGCCGUCUGUACAAACACAGGACCGAAAUUAUCCCUGGCAAAAUCAUUUAUGGCAGAAUUGAUGUUCCCUCUCCACCUCCUGUUCCCUUUAGUUGCCUUAUUGCCUAAGAUUUGGAAUGCAAAAUUGUCUUAAAUCCACACAUGAGAAUUUAGCUUUGACAGUCUGUUCCAUCUACAUAUCUGAAGCUCCUGAAGAUAUCCCUGGAAACUGUUGUAGCUGUAGGGAGACAAAGUAAUAGACUUGAGCCUCCUUAUAGGAACCUCCUGCUGAUUUCUUUCCAAAUUAUUUGUAGCUAUUUGAAAUGAAUAAUAAUUCCUCUGAAAUGAAAUAAAUGCAGCCAACUCUGGAAUAAAAGGCAUUAGUGUUUUCUUUCUUCCCCCUCUUGAGGGGCUGAAACAUGGAUUUUUCUGCCUCACUGUUUUUGCCAAACCAAAGCCAGGGACAGAAGAGCAUUGAAUGACAGCAAACUUGCAAAGGUCUGUUCUACAGAUUCUGCUAUUGUAGGAAGUCAGGGUAACAGUCCCUCAGCAGCCAUCAGUCUCUUGCAUAGAAACUGCACAUUAAGGACUUGGCAGUUUCAAACAGCUACUCCAUGUUUGGAUCUGCAGCAGACCUCUCAAACAGCUACUCCAGAACUGCAGCAGACCCUACCCCCCUUUUUUUUUUCCAGUGGUAAAUGCAUGUGUUACAUCUUUGUCAGCAGUUCUCAAUUCUCUAGCUUGUCUAUUCAGUUCUCCCCUUCUGGUCGUCUUCCACUUCUUAGGUUAUCACAAUCAUAACUACAUAGAAACUUUCUGGGCAGGAUUUAUCUUUCAAAAUGGGAACAAAUCAUUAAAUUUUAACUUGCUUUAUAUAAUCCUAACUUCAGGAAUAGUCCAAUUCAGUGGGUCACCACAUACAGUGUGCUUCUUGGCAUUAGAAAAUUACAUGUAAAUAUGUAUUUAGAAAAGCCUUCAAAGCCCUUUUGGAUAUGACUGAUGGGUCAAACCUGUGAACAAUUACUCCUUCCUCAUCCUACAACAUCUACAUUCUCUCCUCUUUCUAAUUAGUCAUUAGCUAAAGCGUGAAGGUCUUGUAUGUUAUUCUGAUUAAGAGAAGAAAUUUGGCAAUAUCUAUUAAAAAGAAAAAGUCUACAGUCUAUUUUCCCAGCCUAGGAUAAAUCAAACAACAGCCAAAGUCCUUGUUUGGAUUUUCAAACCUGUUGAAAAAGUUGAGGCCAAAAAAAACCAAAAUAAAGUUGUUUAUCAUGGCUGUAUCUCACGUGGUUGUUAAGGUUUUAACUUUUUCAGUGGAUUGCUUGCUCACUGUUUCAGUGUGGAGUAGCAAUAUUUAGAUAUUUAUGAAUUAUGGAAAAGGCAAGCACAUUCAAACAUUCCCUUAAGCAACCAAUCCUUUCCCUCCUGCUAAAGGAUUGUCCAUAGUUUGCUUCUGGCUGCAUGGUUUUAUGCAUUGGAUCUGCACGGUAGACUUUGGCACAUUUCUAAAUGUGCUUAGCAGCAGCUUCUGUCACAGGGCAUCAUGAAGCCAUCCAGCAGAUUAACAAACCUUGGAGGGGAUGACAAGAAACAAGUGAAGAGCGAUUUAGCAUUCAUUUAGCCCAACGUAGCAAAUUGCUUACGCUUAUAUCCCAAAAUGUGUUGGGCAUGACUGUGGCAAUGCGGGUCCCAUUGACUGACUAAAGCUAGGAUUCAGGAAAUUCUAAACUGAUGGGGUUUAUUGUGUGCAGUGUCCCACUAAGAGGAGAUCAAGGUGAAACUGGCUGCAAGUUAAUAAUUAUAACUGUUAAAAAAAAAAAAAAAAGCCAUUUGGAAUAGAAGGAAUGCAUUCUAAUUAAGGAACACAAGAGGAGAAGCUCCAGGGAGAGGACGAAGUUGCUUUUGCUGCAUUUCUGUGUUGUAACCUAAAGGCUAAGCCUGGUGGAAAACUGAGCCAUAUUUAGUGUAAAACCAGAAUCUGCCCCUCUGCUGGACAAAGUACCAAGAACUGGCUGAAAAAUAAGGGCGCUUAAAAGACUCAAGUGAGAAAGAGGAGAAUCUGUCUUGAACAAUACCUUGUAAUCUCAGCAGAGAGCUCCACCAGACAGUGCAGGAGAUGUUAGCUGUUAUUUCCUCAGGCAUGUAGCGAUACCGCUAUCUACAACACCCAUGUGUUUUCCUUUUCAGUAACACUGCAGGAGAUGAACACAGAAUCUGAUUUAUACCUCCUUGGCUUUGGCAAAUGCAUGCUAAAAAUACUGUAGCCGUGCCAUGAAUUAAUCUGAUGACCCCAAAAUCUGAUGAGACACAGUUGGAAAAAUGGUUGUCCUUAGAGAUUUGAGCCCUGCUUGAGUGGGAAGGAUGGAGCAAGGGGUUGGUCAUCAGUACUUGGAACAGUACCAUGAGGCUCCAAAAUUAAAAUAAACUGGCUCAGUCACUCUGGUUGUCCCCAUUUCUGAAAAGCAAGCAUUUUGAAAUGGGAUGUUGGAAGGAAAGGCAAUUUCGGGUGGUGUUAGGGGUGCCAGGGCUGUUACCAAGUCAGCAUCGCUUUCAGAUCCCAACAGAGCUUACAACAGCUUGUUGUGCUUCAGGUGCCAAGCAAAACACUUCUGCUACAUCAGCUCCAGCACUUAGACUGCAGCCACAAGAAUGGCCAUAGAGCUGAGACUGCCAUCCCUGUGUAUCGACUGUUAUCACAUUGCUGCACAAAGCAUUGUAGAGGCAGCACCCAGGUCUCCAGGAGCCAUUCAGGGAGUGGUUGGUGCUGUCAAAGUUGCUCUGCUCAAUAUCUUCCUUAAGCCAAAACCUUUCAUGUUAAUCUCUUGUUGUUUUUCUUCAUUGGAUUCCCAGGCUCCAUGCCAUUUUCUCUCUCCAGCCCACACAAAUAAAUCUUUUUCCAGGAAAGUUUUUAGUUUCAUUAAAAUUGAUUUCAGUCAGUGUUUGCUGUAGAAAUCUGUAAGAAGAGCUUCAGAAAUCUGCAAGAACAGCUUCCUGUGCCAAGACUAAAACUUAAAACUGAAGACAGAACCGGGUGUGCAUGAUAUUUUACACCCCUCUGUGCGCUCUCCAUUUUCUUCAGCUCAUGGAAGGCAGACAUUCUGAGUCACAGGCUGUAUCGCUGUGUUUAAUAGCAUGACAUGGGUUUCUCAUCUCCUUAUUCAUCUGCUUUUUAAGCUCAUUUUUUGUGGUGUUUGUUUGUUUUGAGAUGAGGAAUAGCUAGAAUAAGAUAUUUGGUACAGCCAGAGUUGUGCAGCAACCUGCACUGUUUUGGUCUAUUGACACUUCUGUUAACAUACCUCACUUCAGUGUUUUUUGGGACAGACCCGAGCAUCACACUCAUCUCAAACUGUCUGCAGUAACUGCAGAACCAGUCUGGAAUCAUAAAUGGUUCAUUCAGAAACCACCACUGUGUUUCAUUGUUUGGUGUAGUUUUGUUCUGCAAAAUACUGUGUUUAAUAACACAACUUAAGCUGUCUUAAACGUUCAGUCAUUUACUUUGAGAUGCUUCUGUAGCUCUUUGCUGUUGCACUUACUUUUAAUCCCCAGAGCUAUCUGAAGCCAUUAGCAAGCUAACAGGUGAUUUCCUUUUUUUUCCUGACUAUUGGAGAAUAGUUUGUACAAGUUCUAUCACAAAUCCACUUUGAAUUUCCUUGGCAAUUUUUUGACAAGUUUCUCUUCCCCUUAUGUUUGCUCCUUCAGUUAUUGAUCUACCAGAAGUCUUUUUAAAACCUUGUGGAAGCUUGCUUAAGCAAAGGAUUUUGUCAGAAGCUUUUUAAAAAUCCAGAAACACCACAUCAACCAGAUCCACGCUUCUCCAAAUACCCACUGACUUCUCAGAAGUGUUCAAGUAGACCUGAAACAUGAAUUCUGGCUAAAAAAAAUACAUAUAUGAAUUCCUCUCCUUGUAUCAAGACAAAAACAAGUAUUUCUACUAGGCUGGAUAGGGAAGGCAGCAUCUAGACAGUGUGAAAAUGGAUGGAAAUCGAGGUCUGGCAACAGUGACCUUUCUAGCAAUGCAGCAAAACCGUUCAGUAAUGACGAAAGAGGACAAAAACCCCAAAUUAUGAUGUCUGUUUUGUAACUUUUGGCAAACACGAGGUCUUGCCUCGUGGUCUAGACCGCGUGAGAUGUGCUUCUGGAUCUUCAGCACACCUUCUAGAAGCAAAAGAAUCUUCCUCCCAGGAGAUGCAGAUUUUUGCCAGUUUAACUCCAAGCUGUUUUUGAAACACACUCCCCUCACCUGGUUGGAAUUGGCCAGCAGAUUAAGUGCUUCAUAUCCAAAAAACAAAGUUAUCAUCAAUAUAGCAAGACUUGAUUGAAAUAUCUGAUGACAAAUGCUUCACGAACACAUUUCAAGGUUCUGAAGUACUAAUUAGGCCUUCUUUUUGCUGCUUUUGAGAAGAAAUAGUGGGCUAACGCAGUUAAUGAGCAUUAAUCAAAUAGUUUCACAGUGCUGCAAAAUGUAAUAGCUGUCAACCCACCUCCAUUAUACACUGUUCCCUUACCAACCCACACUUUCGUGCUUUCUUUGAUCUUUUCCAGAGCCCCAAAUCCUCCACAGAGUCUGACAUCAUUGUUCUAAUGGCUGUGGGAAGGGUAAUGUUUAAACUUCCUUUUGUUCAAUGGGAAUAAAUAACUAACUGUUUUAAAUGACCGCAUCUCCCCCUCCAUGCAUUGCACAAGAAAGGAAAAUGUUAUAACCAUUGGCAUCAUAUCGGCCACUGUUUCACACAAAUUUUAACGCGCUUCCUUAUGCCUGGGUACUUCUUAAAUGGAAUGUGAGACCGAUCUCCUCCUGCUUUGCUAUUGAGCCAUAAAACUAAGACUGCUAAUGUGCUCUUUUCAAACACUAAGAGGAAAGCCUGGGCUCACCCCCUUCUCCCAGUCAAUUCCCUCUACCUUUCUGAGUACACUGAUGUCCAGUAAAACUUCAAAAAGCAUGAAGUUUUAAAUUAAAUGAUUCAAGAAGUACGGAGGUCACACAGACAGUGCUAAAAAAAAACAGCUUGCAAAGUUGGAGAACUUUAAUGAUCUACUUAUGCACAGUGUUCUUUCAGAAUAAUGUUGCUUUUGUGCGUUUGUUCGUUCAGGAUCCUAUCUAAUUUGCAUUAAGCUCCUAGGUCUCGGAUUCAUGAUAUUAAAAUGUUAUGGUUAAGUUGUUCCUUGGUUCAUACAUUGCUUCUAAAUUCAAAUCAUACUUAGCUUCUGAAAUGAAAUGAUAUCCAAUGACUUUAAAUGUUGGUAGGCAUUAUAGUAGGUGAGUGUUUAGAUUUGACCAUGGAGCCAAUGAUUAUUUGAUAAACAGACUUACGAACAGCAAAAAAUAUGCAGCUGUGCUUUCUGUUUUGAUGGAGGAAUUUGAGAACAGCUUUCAAGAUUGCUGAAAAAAAUCAUCAAUUCUUUGGAAUAUUUGUGACUCCUCCAUUUUCACUUGAUAUAAAUAAAUUUCCUGCAAAUUUUCGAAUAGAAUAAUCUGAAUUGCAGUCAGAGAUUCAACUCAAAAAUCUGAUCAUGUCUCUUUAAUAGACCCUCAUAAUCUCUAUCUAACCAGAAAAAUCUAUCCUUUGCUUCGCAGUCACACCUCAUUCAUAGAAUCAUAUCACAGAAUCAUAGAAUGGCCUGGGUUGAAAAGGACCACAAUGCUCAUCUAGUUUCAACCCCCUGCUACGUGCAGGGUUGCCAACCAGCAGCCCAGGCUG
Long non-coding RNA from Gallus gallus (chicken), 8407 nucleotides. RefSeq lists it as uncharacterized. The record is from RefSeq and is a predicted model, not a curated record. The transcript is spliced from 3 exons. NCBI's taxonomy places the organism in Eukaryota, Metazoa, Chordata, Aves, Galliformes, Phasianidae.